Molecule: non-coding RNA, 448 nt
Organism: Heterocephalus glaber (naked mole-rat)
Lineage: Eukaryota; Metazoa; Chordata; Mammalia; Rodentia; Bathyergidae
Source: RefSeq, a predicted model, not a curated record
UCGGGUGUCUGUGAGGAGCAUCCCAGCCACUGGUCCCUGGCAUCUGAGGGUACAUUAUCCUUGCCUUCUGUUCACUCAUUCUGUGACCGUGUGGGGCUCGGAGACAGUAAGAAGGCCACUAGAAACCACACAGCUCUAAAGAGCAGCGAGGCUGGAACCUGGGCCCACAAACCCACGUCGCUGCUCCCCCUUCCCCAGGCCAGAGCGACCUGCUGGGUUUCCAGCAACACAGACUGCGCCAGCCGGGAGCUAUACCCCCAGAACUUCCUCCUGCCACCGCCGUGCGCAGGCGCGCCCUUUCCCGACAGACGUGAAAUGUGAAAUCGUCUGAGAAGGUAUGGCAUUUGCUGACAGGCAGCUUGCUGAGGGAGAAGAUGCAACUAUUUCACUUGUGACUUGCUGCAGAUGGUGUUGUCUGCAAGGCACCUGGGACUUACUCCUUCAGGUA